This 375-nucleotide unclassified non-coding RNA is filed under the name uncultured Lysobacterales bacterium. Its description in RNAcentral is "uncultured Xanthomonadales bacterium contains 16S-23S intergenic spacer region". The record is from RNAcentral. Lineage: Bacteria; Pseudomonadati; Pseudomonadota; Gammaproteobacteria; Lysobacterales.
UCGCGGCUUAUCACCGGCAGUCCCCUUAGAGUGCCCAACUGAAUGAUGGCAACUAAGGGCGAGGGUUGCGCUCGUUGCGGGACUUAACCCAACAUCUCACGACACGAGCUGACGACAGCCAUGCAGCACCUGUACACCAGUCCGAAGAGGCCCCCAUCUCUGGAGGUUUCCAGUGCAUGUCAAGCCCAGGUAAGGUUCUUCGCGUUGCAUCGAAUUAAACCACAUACUCCACCGCUUGUGCGGGCCCCCGUCAAUUCCUUUGAGUUUCAGUCUUGCGACCGUACUUCCCAGGCGGCGAACUUAACGCGUUAGCUUCGAUACUGAGUGCCAAGUUGCACCCAACAUCCAGUUCGCAUCGUUUAGGGCGUGGACUAC